CCGGGAGCGGUGGGACCACCAGAUUGCCUAAGGAGGGGUGAACUGGCCCAGGUCAGAAAUGGAGCAGGUCAAAACUUCUGUGCUGAUCAGUAGUGGGAUCGUGACUAUGAAUAGCCAUGUGCAAGUAGCCAACUGACCAAAGCUGGGCCAA
Non-coding RNA from Callorhinus ursinus (northern fur seal), 151 nucleotides. NCBI's taxonomy places the organism in Eukaryota, Metazoa, Chordata, Mammalia, Carnivora, Otariidae. The record is from RefSeq and is a predicted model, not a curated record.